UACGUAGGGCGCGAGCGUUAAUCGGAAUUACUGGGCGUAAAGCGUGCGCAGGCGGUUUGUUAAGACAGAUGUGAAAUCCCCGGGCUUAACCUGGGAACUGCAUUUGUGACUGGCAAGCUAGAGUAUGGCAGAGGGGGGUAGAAUUCCACGUGUAGCAGUGAAAUGCGUAGAGAUGUGGAGGAAUACCGAUGGCGAAGGCAGCCCCCUGGGCCAAUACUGACGCUCAUGCACGAAAGCGUGGGGAGCAAACAGG
Molecule: ribosomal RNA, 253 nt
Filed under: uncultured bacterium
Lineage: Bacteria
Description: partial 16S ribosomal RNA
Rfam family: Bacterial small subunit ribosomal RNA
Source: RNAcentral